GUCCAGACUCCUACGGGAGGCAGCAGUGGGGAAUAUUGCACAAUGGGGGGAACCCUGAUGCAGCGACGCCGCGUGGGCGAGGAAGUAUUUCGGUAUGUAAAGCUCUAUCAGCAGGAAAGAAAAUGACGGUACCUGACUAAGAAGCCCCGGCUAACUACGUGCCAGCAGCCGCGGUAAUACGUAGGGGGCAAGCGUUAUCCGGAUUUACUGGGUGUAAAGGGAGCGUAGACGGUGAAGCAAGUCUGAAGUGAAAGGCGGGGGCUCAACCCCCAGACUGCUUUGGAAACUGUUUGACUGGAGUGCAGGAGAGGUAAGUGGAAUUCCUAGUGUAGCGGUGAAAUGCGUAGAUAUUAGGAGGAACACCAGUGGCGAAGGCGGCUUACUGGACUGUAACUGACGUUGAGGCUCGAAAGCGUGGGGAGCAAACAGGAUUAGAUACCCUCGUA
RNAcentral lists this ribosomal RNA (446 nucleotides) under uncultured bacterium. RNAcentral's name for it is "partial 16S ribosomal RNA". It matches the Rfam family "Bacterial small subunit ribosomal RNA", at positions 329 to 792 of the family's 1533-position model. The record is from RNAcentral.